This is a long non-coding RNA of Seriola aureovittata, 1304 nucleotides long. RefSeq lists it as uncharacterized. The record is from RefSeq and is a predicted model, not a curated record. Lineage: Eukaryota; Metazoa; Chordata; Actinopteri; Carangiformes; Carangidae. The transcript has 4 exons.
UUUGAUCUGUCCUCCUCUUUCACAUCUGCUCAUUUAUUUCCUCUCCUUCUCCCUUUCCAGUCUCUUUCCUGUUCACUUCAUCUGUCGCUUUCUAUCUGCUUUAUUUACUGAUCUCUUUUCCUCUUUUUUCUCCUUCCUUGUGACACUGUAUCUCCAUCCCUCCUUGAGGUCCUGAUCACAGGAUGAGCCCGAUCAUUAGAGCCCCCAAAACUCCAGGGAGAGCUGAGUUGCUGCAGGCUGACACACAGAAAAGGUUAAGGGACCAAACGUGUCUCACAACAUCCAUGAAGAGACAUAUUUUAGGCCUGGUCGCUGAGAGACUGAUAAGAUCCUGAUUCACCCGAGACAACCCUCUAAAUGAGUUCAGGACUCCUGGCGAUGGCGGCUCCUCCCCCUCACCUCCCCCGGCGUUCCUCCAGCUUCCUCUUUGACAUCCUGUUGUCGUGCGUCACACAUACAUAUUUCAUUGAGGAUUCAGCGAGGGAAAAAGAAACUGAAUAAAAAUUCAAAAUCACCUAAGAAGAAAAUAAACACUCAUCCAAGAAAACAGACUAACUACCAAGAGGUCCAGUGACUGGGAGGAAACCUGGAAUCACCUGGGAGGAACUCAUAACAAACAGAGGGAGGAAACACCUGAGAGGCCCCAGAACCGCAGGCAAGAGCAUCCAUCUGUGGAGAGCCGAGGUAUAACUCUGCAGGGCUUCAGAUCAAACGCACACUUCAAAAGGCUUCGGCAUCUCAAAGAACGGCCUGAAUUGUCAGGAUUGUCCAGACCUGUUUAGGAGGCAGACGGGCUCACACAGACACUCAUGUCUCAAAGCAGAAGUUUUUAUCUCUCAUUCAGAAAGUUUGCUUGUGGAUUACUAAAUGAGGCGGGCAGAGACAGACCCUCCACAACAUGUGUUAAUGAGCAAAAACACAAUCGGCUGCAUGGGUACCGCCGUAUGAAGUGUGAAGCUCGACCAUAACAAUCAAACAAUGAUAGAAUUAUAAUGGUGCUGGGCACGUCGAUAACAGCGAAGCUGCAUGUAACUACAGUGCUGCUAGACAGAAACAACCUCCUGAUGAGCUCAAACGUUCCUUAGAUUGGAAUCACUUUUAAAUUUAAAUGAAGCUCUCUGUUCUGCUCUAUCAAUAUUUUUUUUUUUUUUCCAUUGAUUUUCCUGUUAAUUGUGUGUUUAAAUGAUGUUUUAAUACAUUUCUAUGAUUUAUGUUCCUAAGUAGCACGACUGGAUUACCCUGUUAGGAGGUGCUGGGGCAGAAAUUUCCAUUUGGGCUCCUGCAGCUUGUAAACACAAUAUAAA